Molecule: ribosomal RNA, 1346 nt
Filed under: uncultured bacterium
Lineage: Bacteria
Description: partial 16S ribosomal RNA
Rfam family: Bacterial small subunit ribosomal RNA
Source: RNAcentral
GACGAACGCUGGCGGCGUGCUUAACACAUGCAAGUCGAACGGAAAGGCCCUGCUUUUGUGGGGUGCUCGAGUGGCGAACGGGUGAGUAACACGUGAGUAACCUGCCCUUGACUUUGGGAUAACUUCAGGAAACUGGGGCUAAUACCGGAUAGGAGCUCCUGCUGCAUGGUGGGGGUUGGAAAGUUUCGGCGGUUGGGGAUGGACUCGCGGCUUAUCAGCUCGUUGGUGGGGUAGUGGCUUACCAAGGCUUUGACGGGUAGCCGGCCUGAGAGGGUGACCGGCCACAUUGGGACUGAGAUACGGCCCAGACUCCUACGGGGGGCAGCAGUGGGGAAUAUUGCACAAUGGGCGGAAGCCUGAUGCAGCAACGCCGCGUGCGGGAUGACGGCCUUCGGGUUGUAAACCGCUUUCGCCUGUGACGAAGCGUGAGUGACGGUAAUGGGUAAAGAAGCACCGGCUAACUACGUGCCAGCAGCCGCGGUGAUACGUAGGGUGCGAGCGUUGUCCGGAUUUAUUGGGCGUAAAGGGCUCGUAGGUGGUUGAUCGCGUCGGAAGUGUAAUCUUGGGGCUUAACCCUGAGCGUGCUUUCGAUACGGGUUGACUUGAGGAAGGUAGGGGAGAAUGGAAUUCCUGGUGGAGCGGUGGAAUGCGCAGAUAUCAGGAGGAACACCAGUGGCGAAGGCGGUUCUCUGGGCCUUUCCUGACGCUGAGGAGCGAAAGCGUGGGGAGCGAACAGGCUUAGGUACCCUGGUAGUCCACGCUGUAAACGGUGGGUACUAGGUGUGGGGUCCAUUCCACGGGUUCCGUGCCGUAGCUAACGCUUUAAGUACCCCGCCUGGGGAGUACGGCCGCAAGGCUAAAACUCAAAGGAAUUGACGGGGCCCCGCACAAGCGGCGGAGCAUGCGGAUUAAUUCGAUGCAACGCGUAGAACCUUACCUGGGUUUGACAUGGAUCGGGAGUGCUCAGAGAUGGGUGUGCCUCUUUUGGGGUCGGUUCACAGGUGGUGCAUGGCUGUCGUCAGCUCAUGUCGUGAGAUGUUGGGUUAAGUCCCGCAACGAGCGCAACCCUUGUUCACUGUUGCCAGCACGUUAUGGUGGGGACUCAGUGGAGACCGCCGGGGUCAACUCGGAGGAAGGUGGGGAUGACGUCAAGUCAUCAUGCCCCUUACGUCCAGGGCUUCACGCAUGCUACAAUGGCUGGUACAGAGAGUGGCGAGCCUGUGAGGGUGAGCGAAUCUCGGAAAGCCGGUCUCAGUUCGGAUUGGGGUCUGCAACUCGACCUCAUGAAGUCGGAGUCGCUAGUAAUCGCAGAUCAGCAACGCUGCGGUGAAUACGUUCCCGGGGCU